UUAAAGACAAAUCCCUCUAUUGUUUUUGCGCAUAUACAAGCGCAACAGUACUAUGCCGUCAGCGGUUUAUGACGUCGCGGUUUCAGCGAACUCGAAACGUAAAUGAGAGUUAUUCCUCUUUGACCCGAUGGAGAGAGUGACAAUCGUUUUGAUCCGUAAAUUUGCCGAGAAGAAAAUAAAAAUUGUUUUUAUAUAAUAGACAUGUUCCAGAAUUGGAUAUACACAUUAAUUAUGUGAAUUUAGUGUAGCUGAAACAAACAACAAAACAGCAAAUUAUGAAAUAUAUGAAUAAAAAAGAGUCAACUAUACAUCAAUCUAACAACAAAAAACACAUAAAACGACUGUCAAGAAGCGGAACAAAAUCUGGAUACUCGACAAAAAGUUGAGCCAAUUAAAUUAUAAUAUAAUACUAAUUUCCUUAAUUUGCCUCGUGUAUGGACUUAUCCGUGUUCUUUAGAGUCAAUCUCUUUUGGUGGGGUUUAAAUUGUAUUUAUAUUUCCAUAAAUCAUUAUGAAAGUACGAAAAUCAUCAAUCAUGUCUUCAAAAUUCAAUGUAUCUAUAGCAAAAGGUACAUUUCGUACAUAUAUACCUAUUUGUAUGGAUAUGGCAAAUACGUAUUUUGAAUGUGCACGGCGAUUACAUUUUUACACGAAUAUGAUAUUAAGAUUUCUGAUAAACACCAACAAAACAGUAACCAUGCACGCAUACGUGUAAAAUAAAGUCAAUCUAGAGAAGUUAACAUAUACCCUUCUAACAUUGUAGGUUUUUGUAUUUGACUACUCCAAGUCUGAUCCGAUUUGCCAAGUUUAAUAUUUAUGUACUAGGUGCGCAAUUUUUAUAUACAAAAAAAAAUAAUCGUGCCUGUGUUUAAAAGUUGUCAGAAUAAAGAAUUAAAGAGGAAUACAUAUGAAAAAAAAUCAAUAGUUUCAUUUGAGAAAAAGAGGUCGGACUAGGUUCUUUUCAUAAUCACGGUAUGACAACUGUAUGAGUAUACUUAGACUGUCUAGCAACAUUACGGAAUAUUUCGAUAUGCAUAUAUAUAUAGAUGCCUAUGAAUGCAUGAUCAAAACAGAAAGUAUGUUAAAUAGACCCCGUUUAUAACACUUGCACAAAAUUGAAUCGAUCUUUAGAGCAUCUCGCAUUUACGAUCUUUUUCUUACUUGUGCGUUUACAUUUAGUAUACAUUGCAGUCAUAAAAAAAUCGGUCUAAUCAUUUCGUUAAGAAAAAAAUUGUAGAAAAUAGAAUAAGGAAAUAUUUGGUUCAUUAGAUAUGCUUUUACAUUUAUUAAUUAUCUUUUUGAUUAACAUGUCAUAAGUCCUCAAAAAACAAAGAAAUGUCAGAAUAAUUUUACAUGUAUAACGGUCAUUUGGUUUGAAGAUGAGGAAUUUACAGAAAAUAAAAAGAAAACAAUAAUAAUGAAUAAAUACAAUUGAAAAGAUAUUUUU
Molecule: long non-coding RNA, 1446 nt
Filed under: Mytilus galloprovincialis (Mediterranean mussel)
Lineage: Eukaryota; Metazoa; Mollusca; Bivalvia; Mytilida; Mytilidae
Source: RNAcentral